This is a long non-coding RNA of Ictalurus punctatus (channel catfish), 1966 nucleotides long. RefSeq lists it as uncharacterized. The transcript has 3 exons. Lineage: Eukaryota; Metazoa; Chordata; Actinopteri; Siluriformes; Ictaluridae. The record is from RefSeq and is a predicted model, not a curated record.
UUUAUGGAUUCACAAAAAAGAACCGAAUUAAACUACACUCCUAAAUUAAUCAUAUAUUCUUGUGUGUGUGUAUUGGGUUCUUUUCUGUUUCGAACAAACAGUUGUGUAAAGUUUAUAUUUAUAACACUGAGUUUGUGGAUUUUACUUUAAAUAAACAACAAAAAAAAUCGCCCCAUCCGAUGAAUCAAUUAAAAUAAAAUUAGUUAACCAAUUAAAAUAAAAUUAGUUGACCAAUUAAAAUAGUUGUUAGUUGCAGCCCUAAAUAUUUUACACCCAAAUUAGUCUUGUAUAAUAACCGCUCAUUUUUUCUCCUCAAUGCAGACUGUCGUGUUGCCAUAGUAACCAAAUCACACUACGUAAUGCUAUCCACAGUCGGUACAACCCCGGAUCCUGCCUCCUCCAGCAUGGCCUGCACCCAAAAGACCCUUGUUGGCUCUAUAGCGCCUCCGGCGGCGGCGUUACGUAACUGCGACGGACUGCCGCGUGAUGACGUCACUACCGGAGCCGGAGAAAAUAAAUAAAUAAGUGUGCUUCAUGAAGAUGUGGUGUGUGAAGGUUGGAAGAAGGUAGAAGAACUCGAGUGUCCUGCACAGAACCCUGACCUCAACCCCACUGAUCACCUUUGGAAUGAACUGGAGACUCCUUCACAUCAACAUCAGCGCCUGACCUCAACCUCACUAACGCUCUUGUAGCUGAAUGAACACAAAUCCCCACAGCCAUGCCCCAAAAUCUAAUGGAAAGCCUUCCCAGAAGAGUGGAGCGCAUUAUAACAGUAUAGAGGAAUAAAUCUGGAAUGGGAUGUAUCCUUUAAUUGAUGUUCAUCCUAACAUCAAUUAAAGUGACUGAUUAACCCCAAAUAAAGUCCAGCUGUUCCUGUAAGAUUCUCCUGACAUCUUCUUGGUAACAUCCAGCUGGAAAAGCCAUGGGCUACAAAGAGCUUACAAUCAGGUACGGUUUCUGAUUGUUGAAAAAUAUAAUUCAGGAGAGGGUUACAAAAUAUUUCCAAGGCAUUGGAUAGACCAUGGAACACUGUAAAGAUAAUAGUUAACAACUGGAGAGAAUAUGGCACGACAGUGACACUACUAAGAACAGAACGUCCCUCUAAAACUGAUGGUCAGGGAGGCUGCUGAGAGGCCUACAGCAACAUUAAAAUAAUUGCAGCAAUUUCUAACAAGUACUGGUUGCUCCCUACAUGUGACAACAAUCUCCCGAAUUCUUCAUAUCUCUGGGCGGUGGAGUAGGGGGGCAAGAUGGAAGCCUUUUUUAACCUAAAUUAAAUGUUAGAAAAUAAUCCAAUCUCCCAAAUCGUGUGGAAUAAUGCGUUACGGUCGGUCUGAUGGGACCAAAGUUGAACUUUGUUGAAAAUACGUUUGGCACAAAAAAAGCACAAAGCACAUCACCAAAGGAACAGCAUCCUCACAGUGAAGCAUGGGGCUGGUAGCAUCAUGCUUUGAGGCUGUUUUUCUACAUCUGGAGCUGGGGCUUUAAUCGGGGUGGAGGGAAUAAUGAAUAACUCCAAAUACUAGUCACUUCUGGCACAAAACCUUAAGUCCAAAACACUUCACAUGAAUAGGAAUUUCACCUUUCAGCACAACAACGAUCCGAAGCAAACCUCCAGAUCAAUAAAGGAACGGCUUCACCAAAACAAGGUCACGGUUAUGGAACGGCCCCGCCAGAGUCCAGACCUAAAUCCAAUCAAAGAUCUGUGUGAUGACCUGAAGAGGGCUGUGUACAGGACACGCCCUGCCCAUCUGACAGAGUUAGAAUACUUUUAUAAGGAAGAAUGGCAAAAUAUUGCUAAGUCAACAACUCUUCCCCAAAAAGACUGAAUGCUGUGAUAAAAAUCUAAAGCUGCUUCUACUAAGUAUUAGUUUAUUAAGUUUUAGGGGUGUGCAAACUUAUACAAUCCGGUUAUUAUACAUGAUAUAUAUAUAUAUAUAUUUCCCCAUAAAAUGAUUUAACUUUA